UACGAAGGGGACUAGCGUUGCUCGGAAUGACUGGGCGUAAAGGGCGCGUAGGCGGCUUGCACCGUCAGAUGUGAAAUUCCUGGGCUUAACCUGGGGGCUGCAUUUGAUACGUGUGGGCUUGAGUGCGGAAGAGGGUCGUGGAAUUCCCAGUGUAGAGGUGAAAUUCGUAGAUAUUGGGAAGAACACCGGUGGCGAAGGCGGCGACCUGGUCCGUGACUGACGCUGAGGCGCGAAAGCGUGGGGAGCAAACAGG
RNAcentral lists this ribosomal RNA (253 nucleotides) under uncultured bacterium. RNAcentral describes it as "partial 16S ribosomal RNA". It matches the Rfam family "Bacterial small subunit ribosomal RNA", at positions 524 to 776 of the family's 1533-position model. The record is from RNAcentral.